Molecule: ribosomal RNA, 253 nt
Filed under: uncultured bacterium
Lineage: Bacteria
Description: partial 16S ribosomal RNA
Rfam family: Bacterial small subunit ribosomal RNA
Source: RNAcentral
UACAGAGGUCCCAAGCGUUGUUCGGAUUCACUGGGCGUAAAGGGUGCGUAGGCGGGUUUUUAAGUCAGGGGUGAAAUCCUGGAGCUCAACUCCAGAACUGCCUUUGAUACUGGCGAUCUCGAGUCCGGGAGAGGUGAGUGGAACUGCGAGUGUAGAGGUGAAAUUCGUAGAUAUUCGCAAGAACACCAGUGGCGAAGGCGGCUCACUGGCCCGGUACUGACGCUGAGGUGCGAAAGCGUGGGGAGCAAACAGG